CCUACGGGUGGCAGCAGUGAGGAAUAUUGGUCAAUGGGCGGAAGCCUGAACCAGCCAUGCCGCGUGCAGGAAGACGGCCCUACGGGUUGUAAACUGCUUUUCCGGGGGAAGAAUAAUCCCGACGUGUCGGGAGACGACGGUACCCCGGGAAUAAGGAUCGGCUAACUCCGUGCCAGCAGCCGCGGUAAUACGGAGGAUCCGAGCGUUAUCCGGAUUUACUGGGUUUAAAGGGUGCGUAGGCGGGAGCUUAGAAAUGCGGGGGCUCAACCUUCGAACGGCCGUUGAUACUGGGCGCCUUGGAUUCGGUCGAGGCGGGCGGAAUGCGACAUGUAGCGGUGAAAUGCUUAGAGAUGUCGCAGAACGCCGAUUGCGAAGGCAGCUCGCCGGGCCGAUAUUGACGCUGAGGCACGAAAGCGUGGGGAUCGAACAGGAUUAGAUACCCCAGUAGUC
This 450-nucleotide ribosomal RNA is filed under the name uncultured bacterium. RNAcentral's name for it is "partial 16S ribosomal RNA". It matches the Rfam family "Bacterial small subunit ribosomal RNA", at positions 338 to 795 of the family's 1533-position model. The record is from RNAcentral.